Molecule: long non-coding RNA, 1826 nt
Filed under: Medicago truncatula (barrel medic)
Lineage: Eukaryota; Viridiplantae; Streptophyta; Magnoliopsida; Fabales; Fabaceae
Description: long non-coding RNA (MTRU_LNC006943)
Source: RNAcentral
AGCCUUUUAGAUCUGUAAGAAAGUGUAUUUAGAGUUUCAGACCUUAAUUAACAUUUUAUUCAUAAGGGUUAGGACAAUUUCUUGAAGCCUCUUUUAACUUUUAUGUGGAUUUUAUGCUUUAGUGUAAUAUAGUGUAGUUUAGAUCUCACUGUUCUUGAAUGAUCAUGAUACGAAUCUCUCUUCUUUGGAUGUUGUUGUUGUAUGGGUAUUAGAUGAACAAUGAAACAUGAGGUUAUAUACUAUUCUAUAUUAUUGAUUUCCUCUAAAAAUCUAAGGAUGAUUGGUUAGAAGUUGUUCGAUGCAUUUGAUGUUUACUUUAGUAGACAUUCUUGCUGGAGUUUCCUUUCAAAAAUCAGUUUGUGUUCUAUUAGGAACUUUUCAUUUACUAAUUUGUUAAUGCCCUUAUUUUAUCCAAUUCAUGUUAGUUAGAGACACUCAUCUUAAACACCCUUGAACUUUUCUUUCUAAAUGGUUGAUGUAAUUUAUUUGUCCAUUGGCGGUUGUAAUUUAUUUGUCGACACAUGCUCUUGAACAAAGUACUCUCAAGUAGCAGCACCGCUUUCCACAUAGCAGCAUGUAGCCUCAAGUUUAUUAGCUUAUUUGAACAAACGGUAUCAUCUCUAUUUUCGACAUGUUCUAUGUUUGCGGCCUUUUUGUCAAUUUUGCAUUCUUGUUUCUUUGAGUUAGUGUGUUCUUUCGGCGUUUUGAGCGUUGAUGCUUUCUUGCUUCUCUGAGUUAUUGCGUGCAGGUAUUUCUUCUUCACUAAUUCUUUUAAUAGAGAUAUUGGUUCCGAUUAAAUUCUUAUUCAUUUCAAUAAGAUUAUAUGGGCAUUAAAUUGUUAAAAGUACGAGAUUUCGUAUUAAUUCUCUACUACUAUUUAUGUAUGUACUUUUUAAAGAUAAAAAAAUCUAAGGAGAAGACUAUGAGAGUGCUUAUUCUAUACCGACAUGUUGGAUCACAUGAUUUUGUACAUAAUGAUAACUCAAUUUCUCAACAAGGUAUUAAAAUAAAGUUUCUUAAGAAUUGGUAUUGUAUCAUGAAAUGACUUGACUUUAAUUCUAUAAAUUAAUAGUUUUGGUAUAUUGAAUAACUAGGCUCCAUGACAGGUCCAUACCGAGAAGGGGGGCAUAAGUAUAUGCCAUGUUUUGAUUCAUUUGAUUCCACUAAACAUAUGUACGUGAUUUUUUCUUAUAUUCCUUUGUUUUAGAUGUCUAGUUAUGUUCUUUUUUUUUUUGGAAAAAAGAAUUAGUGUGAUAUUUGAAAACAUUUAUUGUAAUAUGUAGAUGUGUAUACUUCAUGAUCAUGCAAUUGUUACCAUUGUUGUGCAGGAAGUAAAUAAGGCAAGACUUGUCGACGUGUUUGUGUUGUAGUCUGUAGUGCAGGUGGUGAGUUGCUUGUCGAUGGUCACCUAUGGUUUUCCUUGUACAAAGUUAUUGGUUUCGGUUGGUAGCUUAAUUAUAAUGAUGUUGAUGCAUCCAUUUGUUUUAGCUCCUGCUGCUGGUGUUGCUCUGGUUUUUCUCUAGUGCCUCCAAGUCCGGCUAAUGUGUUCUUGUUCGUUGAUCUAUUUUCUGCAAGCCUGAAGAGUUUUAGUGUAUAAGUGUUUGGUUUUGCUUUUGGAAUUUUAGUAUUUCUUUAUAGAGAAGUUUAGUUUGUAUUUUGUUUCAUGGUUUUUUAGUUGUACUUAGCAUAAGUUGUAGGUGUGUAACUUUUGUCCCAAUUUUGGUCCGUCUUGAGUUUGGAUUAGUAUUAAUCAAAUUUAUUUUUCGAUAAAAACAGUCUCUAAAUUUGUAUGUUUAAGGAAUAAAUGAAAGAAAUGAAAAUGACCC